GACGAACGCUGGCGGCGUGCUUAACACAUGCAAGUCGAACGAAGAGCGACGGAAGCUUGCUUCUAUCAAUCUUAGUGGCGAACGGGUGAGUAACGCGUAAUCAACCUGCCCUUCAGAGGGGGACAACAGUUGGAAACGACUGCUAAUACCGCAUACGAUCUAAUCUCGGCAUCGAGGAUGGAUGAAAGGUGGCCUCUACAUGUAAGCUAUCACUGAAGGCGGGGAUUGCGGCUGAUUGGCUAGUUGGAGGGGUAACGGCCCACCAAGGCGAUGAUCAGUAGCCGGUCGGAGAGGAUGAACGGCCACAUUGGGACUGAGACACGGCCCAGACUCCUACGGGAGGCAGCAGUGGGGAAUCUUCCGCAAGGGACGAAAGUCUGACGGAGCAACGCCGCGUGAGGGAGGACGGCCUUCGGGUUGUAAAGCUCUGUUAAUCGGGACGAAAGGCCUUCUUGCGAAUAGUGAGAAGGAUUGACGGUACCGGAAUAGAAAGCCACGGCUAACUACGUG
Molecule: ribosomal RNA, 510 nt
Filed under: uncultured bacterium
Lineage: Bacteria
Description: partial 16S ribosomal RNA
Rfam family: Bacterial small subunit ribosomal RNA
Source: RNAcentral